UAGCUCAGCUGGCUAGAGCGUACGGUUCAUACCCGUGAGGUCGGGGGUUCGAUCCCCU
This 58-nucleotide transfer RNA is filed under the name Bacillus pumilus. RNAcentral describes it as "tRNA-Met". It matches the Rfam family "tRNA", at positions 8 to 62 of the family's 71-position model. From Rfam's summary of the family: Transfer RNA (tRNA) molecules are approximately 80 nucleotides in length. Their secondary structure includes four short double-helical elements and three loops (D, anti-codon, and T loops). The record is from RNAcentral. Lineage: Bacteria; Bacillati; Bacillota; Bacilli; Caryophanales; Bacillaceae.